Long non-coding RNA from Corapipo altera (White-ruffed manakin), 2658 nucleotides. RefSeq lists it as uncharacterized. The record is from RefSeq and is a predicted model, not a curated record. The transcript has 4 exons. NCBI's taxonomy places the organism in Eukaryota, Metazoa, Chordata, Aves, Passeriformes, Pipridae.
UGUGGAGAUGCCCAGCUGCUGAAACCGGAUCUCUCGGUGGGUAAGAAAAUUCUUGAGGUAUGCUUGAAUCUCUCCGAUGUGAUGCUUCCAUAAAAGCAUCAUUUUUUCUGCAUAAAUGGGAGAACCACUGGAGAUCAAUACAAACCUUUAAAACACUUUGAAAACUGAUUUUUGUAACAUUUGUAAGAUCAUUAAUGACUUAUCUACCUUCAGCUACAACCAGCAUUACUGCAAAGACUGGCAACUUCCCUGUACUACAGCUUCUGACAAUAUCGCUGAUACUUCAGGUAAACAAAAUGCUAAAUGGGCUGCUGUGCUAGGAAUCUAGUCCUUGUGCAAGGUGCCUGCUGAUUUAUGGACUGAUCAGCCUGUCAUACUAACUUGAAGUGAUUAUGCUGUUGGACUCUGUUCACUGCCUGAGAGUCUGCUCUGUUGCAAACCCUCAGUGGUAGAAAUGAAACAGAUUUGCAUUUUCCCUUACUGGAGACUCAUUAUGGAUUUCAGUUUUUGCACAUCUAAGGUCUAAAAUGCAACCAUGCCUUUCUAGAGAACAUGACAAGAAUUAUCUGAAUACCUUUUUCUUGCAAGUCUAAAGGCUCUCAGCUGCAUGGCACAUGUAUAUUAAGCAUAAAGCUAUUUGUUUGCUACAGGUAAUGCUCUUUUUAUUCUCUUUCACUGAAACUGAAAAAAAUUUUGACUCCAUUCUUAAAAGCCACUUCACUGCUCCUGCUAACCUAGUCUGGAAUUACAACAGCAGGAUUUGGUUCGGUAAAAGCUUUCCUUUUGCUAGUCAGACAGCAGAGUUUAUCUAGAAUUUUGGAAUGUAACCUCUGCUUCUAUCUAUGGGGAAUGCCAUCACAUUGUAUACACUGAGAAGGAAGGUCAAUCAGAAAGAUGUAGCAAUGACUUGUCUGAAACAUGUUCUCAUCUUUCCCAUGGCUAAUUUCACUCCAGACAGCCGUAAGACUCCUUCAAAGCAGAGUUAAUCGUGUGACAGUUACCGUGACCUAUCAUGUGCUGGAUGAUGGAGGCAGCUUGAAAGGAUGACUCAGUGUGUUCCAGUUGGCCAGCCAGUCUCACCAAGCACUUUGUCAAAUGUUCAUCCAUCCAUUGGACCAUGUGUAGUGUGGCUCCUUCUAGAAGACAGAAAGAUAAGAGAGUAGUCUGUAAACAGAAAGUCCAUUGUUGAAGAAAUGAAGUAGAGAGUUCUGCCAGAAACCAUACAGCCUAAAUAGGGAAUUCUUCAUGCAGCUAGAGAAGCGAAAUAAGUGCUGAGCUUGGUUAGCUGAAUCUGCUAUGCCAAAAGUGGUGUUGGACAGCAUGUCUCUGUACUGGGAUAUAUGUUUUAUAGACCGAGUUGAAAACAGGAGACUUAGCCUAUGCUGACCUGGAUUAAAAGCACAUGAGACUGAAAAAUGAGUUCUGAAUGAGUCACCUCACUGUGACUGGAAGUGACUGUUUUUAACUUGCUGCUUAGAGGUUGAAGAUGGAUCCAACACUGCUGCCUUUCAAGCUCCCACGCUCUGUGUCCUGCUGGCAUAAAAACAACACCGGUUUUUAUCUCUUGUGCCAAGGACUCUUCUGUGUUUUAGAAAGUGUUCCUAAGAAUUGACCCUGGAAACCUGGCACUCCCAGUUAUGUCUGUGUAUUCACUUAUGCAGUGAGAGCUAGGUAGUCUAUACAUUAUAAAGCUUUAUGAAGGUGAACCAGCUCCUGGCUGAUAACAAAGUCACAAAAUCUAAGUACUUUAAAAAAAUGACCAUAUUUGUCAAACUUUGAAAGGAUGGUCCAUUUUUACUCUUACUGUGAGCCUUGAGUUUGAGGGCAUCUAGUUCCUUGAAAAACUUGAUUUCUCAACUAUUAGAAAUUUAUAUAAUUCUUAUCUUAGUACCAGUGAAAAAAUACCAUACUUUUCCUUCUGGCUAGUUUUAAUGUCUGGAACUAGUGGCAACUGGAUCAUGAUAAAAGAGGAAAAGAAAGAACUGAGUUUUGAAAAGUGUGUACCAGGAAGUGGGACAAAGCAGAAAUGAGGAUUUAGGUGAUUGUUCCCCCCCCCCCCCCAGUAUUGAUUGUUACUAAUGGUACUAUUUGAUCAAGGUACUCUUAAAGGCAAGGAAAAAGGAAGUGCAUCUGUGCAUAUGGAUUUCAAAGCAAACUCAGCAACAGAGAUCUUUAUAACAUUUUGGCACAACUGGUAUCUUGCCAAACAGGUAAAAUAUACAUCAAUAGGUCAGGUUAUAUUUGACAAUAAAGGGCAGCUGAAGCAUGAGAGCUAGGAAAUAAAGAUGCAGCUUAUAACAGACCUCAGAUUUUCCUAGAUGGUUCCUUUAAUUAGCAUGAAAUGUCUUUGGUAGAGGAAUGUUUUAUACCUAUGAUGCAGUCAUUUCAAUUAGGUAACCACAUCACUGAUAGAAAAGAUUAAAUAUUCCUUAUUUUCAUUAGCAUUAUUGUAUUGGGAAAAUAUGAAUAAACCCUCCUUUCAUUAUGGCACAUCAGGUCCUUUUAUUCAUACCUAGAAUUUUGUGUAGAAUAUCCUUGGCAUAUAUUUAAUUAUCCACAGAAAUUUUAAUUUUUUUUUUUAAUGCUGAUUUGAUAUAAACAUAAUGGCAACCUCCUGGGGUAUAGCUCAGUGAAAAAUAUUGGGUACCUACCUGUCUG